GGAUUCAAUACAUCGGAAUCGGAUAAGCCUCUCUUUCCUAACCUCACUUCCUCUCCUUUUCUUCCACCAUUGUUCAAUUCAACAACCCAAUGCCAAUGCCAAUUUCUCCUUUGAUUUUCUCUCCCUUUUCGCUAUGAUUUAGAAAAAUUUUCCUUUCCCGCAAAAUUUUCACCCUCUCUUCCCAUUUCUGAUCUAUAGAAUAAAUGGCAGCAGUCACUUCAGUCUCCUUCUCUGCAAUUGCCCAAUCCUCUAAUGACAGAAAGGCCUUUGCUUCCUCCACGCGUUCUUUCGCUUCCAAUUUCGACACUUUCAGAUUCCGUUCUGGUUUUUCUUCUCAGUAUAUGGGCGUUAGAGCUUCAAAUUCUACUUCUCGCAUGGUUAUUCAUUGCAUGUCCACUGCUACAGAUGUGCCCACUGUAUCUGAGACCAAGUUCAAUUUUCUUAAGGCGUACAACAGACCAAUUCCAAGCAUCUACAAUACGAUUCUGCAGGAGCUGAUUGUUCAGCAACAUUUGAUGAGGUACAAGAGGACUUACCGUUACGACCCUGUGUUUGCCCUUGGUUUUGUUACCGUGUAUGAUCAACUCAUGGAAGGAUACCCAAGUGAUGAGGAUCGAGAUGCCAUUUUCCAAGCAUACAUAAAAGCAUUGAAGGAGGAUCCCGAGCAAUAUAGGUUUGUCUUUUGUGGGAACUGUUUUUCUUUUCUCUACUUUAAUACUUUUACCUAGUUUAAUUUUCAGUGAGGCAAAUGUAAAUAAUUGUUCUCAAAAUGAAUUUUUUGAGGUUCCAAACAUAAUUAUGUAAUUGCAAAUGGAUCCCAAAAAUUUUAUGGAAUUCAUUCAUUCAUUCUAAAGAAGCUCUUUAAGCAUUAAAUAUAUUAGAUAGAAAAACUUGCUAAUUCUGUAUGUUGUGGAGUACAGAAUUGAUGCAAAGAGUCUAGAAGAGUGGGCUCGAUCUCAGACUGCCACUUCAUUAGUUGACUUUUCAUCCAGAGAAGGAGAAGUUGAGGGGAUACUAAAGGACAUUGCAGAGAGGGCUGGAAAUGGGAGUUUCAGCUACAGCCGAUUCUUUGCCGUUGGGCUAUUUCGUCUUCUUGAGCUUUCAAAUGCUACUGAGCCAACGAUAUUGGAAAAGGUUGCAUCUUGCAUUACUUCCAUAUAAUUAUUGAAAUGUGUUGAUUUCUAGCUGUUGCAUUAAUAGAUUUGUCCAAAAUGCAAAGAAUUUAUUGUUGAUUCUGUUAGCCACGACAAUUAUAAGCUGUUAACUUUCCUAAGCCUCUAAGAACUUUUUUUAUUUUUUUCAUAUGUUAAAUAUCCACCAUUUUUUAUGGAGACACUUUUUUUUUUAGUAUGGCAUAAUCAAGCUCCAUUCAGAUUAUUAUUUCAUUAUGAAAUUAGGAUUGUGGGCCAAGGAUUUAUCCAUUGGUACUUGUCAGGAGUCCUUUGUUCCAAGUUAAAGACACAACAAACAAAGAUUUUCUUACUAAUGGGUUGACAAUUUUCUUUCAAUUGCUAUGGAAUAGCUUUGUGCAGCCUUAAAUGUAAAUAAAAGAAGUGUGGAUCGGGACCUUGAUGUGUAUCGCAACCUCCUUUCCAAACUGGUUCAAGCAAAAGAGUUGCUCAAGGAGUAUGUGGACAGGUAUAGGGAAAAUUAAUUCUUCUUGCUUACAUUUGGUUUCUUUUACUUCAGAACACGGCAUGGAAUUUUACUUCAUUCAGCUGGUUUUGCAAACAUGAUAAUUUUCAUAAGCCUGGCAUUCAGCAGUUAAGCUGCAACUUGUUAAAUGGGAAAAUUGAUAAGAUGACAAUUCUUACACUGCAAUGUGAAAAUUGUAAGAACUUAGAUUGCUAAUGUUAGCCUAGUGGGAGAAAGAUUUUGAGCAUCACACUUAAAGAUGAAGAUUUAAUACGAUGGAAUGAACAAUUGUAUGCCUUUUCUACACCAGGUUAAGAAUUCUCAAAAUGCCAUAACCCAUGGCAUUUAGAAGUGAGAUUCAAACUGUUCUGUUUCUCUUGGAUAUAACAUGGCAGUUUAUUACUUUCAUUUCUUUUAUCUUGUUUAUGGUUCUUGUUUCCGAAAUGUUUUUGGCUUUCAGGGAGAAGAAGAAACGAGAAGAACGGGCAGAGUCACAGAAGGCUAAUGAGGCUGUCAAAAAAUGUCUGGGAGAACCCCACUAUGUGAGCUAGUGAUACAGCCAGUAGCAUUUCCCACCACACUGAUCAAAUCCUAUGAAUCUUCAACAUAUUGAUUUUUCUGUGUCUUUUGUUGAGGUAGAAUAUGAGACUGUCUGCACUAUUCAUCAGCUCUUGUUCUGCAUAUGGUGGUUACGACAUGUUCUAGUGUCUUCACUUCACCACGUGCAUAUACUAGUGUCUUCAUUUCACCACGUUUAUAUCUUUGCUCCUUUUUGUUAUACCGCAGAUGUAGAAUUAUAUUUUUAAAUUAAAUGCCAUCUGCACUGCAGUUUCUUGGGUAUUAGCCCGUAUCAGGUCCU
This 2494-nucleotide unclassified non-coding RNA is filed under the name Hevea brasiliensis (rubber tree). The record is from RNAcentral. Lineage: Eukaryota; Viridiplantae; Streptophyta; Magnoliopsida; Malpighiales; Euphorbiaceae.